UCUUGGUCAUUUAGAGGAAGUAAAAGUCGUAACAAGGUUUCCGUAGGUGAACCUGCGGAAGGAUCAUUAUUGAAAUAAACCUGAUGGGUUGUUGCUGGCUCUCUAGGGAGCAUGUGCACGCCUUGUCAUCUUUAUAUCUCCACCUGUGCACUUUUUGUAGACCCCUCCAGGUCUAUGUUGCUUCAUUUACCCCCAAUGUAUGUUGAUAGAAUGUCGUGGCUAUAUGAAAUCUAUACAACUUUCAGCAACGGAUCUCUUGGCUCUCGCAUCGAUGAAGAACGCAGCGAAAUGCGAUAAGUAAUGUGAAUUGCAGAAUUCAGUGAAUCAUCGAAUCUUUGAACGCACCUUGCGCUCCUUGGUAUUCCGAGGAGCAUGCCUGUUUGAGUGUCAUUAAUAUAUAUCAACCGCUCUUCUUGAGCGGUUUGGAUGUGGGGGUUUGCUGGCCUUUAUGGAAGGUUCAGCUCUCCUGAAAUGCAUUAGCGGAACAACCUGUUCAUUCAUUGGUGUGAUAACUAUCUACGCUAUUGAGUGCGAGGCAGUUCAGCUUCUCAACCGUCUUUGGACAAUUUAUCAUUUUAUGUGACCUCAAAUCAGGUAGGACUACCCGMUGAACUUAAGCAUAUCAAUAAGCGGAGGAA
RNAcentral lists this ribosomal RNA (638 nucleotides) under uncultured Cortinarius. RNAcentral's name for it is "eukaryotic LSU rRNA". The stretch from base 237 to 390 matches the Rfam family "5.8S ribosomal RNA". The record is from RNAcentral. Lineage: Eukaryota; Fungi; Basidiomycota; Agaricomycetes; Agaricales; Cortinariaceae.